AAUCAACGCUGGCGGCGUGCCUCAGACAUGCAAGUCGAACGCGAAAGGGGGCGUUCGGCCUCCGAGUAGAGUGGCGCACGGGUGAGUAACACGUGGGUAAUCUACCUCCGGGUGGGGAAUAUCAGCUGGAAACGGCUGUUAAUACCGCAUAAUGCAGCGGCAUCUAUGAUGACAGUUGUUACAGCGGGGGACCGUAGCAAUACGGCCUUGCGCCUGGAGAGGAGCCCGCGGCGGAUUAGCUAGUUGGUGAGGUAAUGGCUCACCAAGGCUUCGAUCCGUAGCCGGCCUGAGGAGGGCGGGUCGGCCACACUGACACUGACACACGGGUCAGACUCC
This 336-nucleotide ribosomal RNA is filed under the name uncultured bacterium. RNAcentral describes it as "bacterial SSU rRNA". It matches the Rfam family "Bacterial small subunit ribosomal RNA", at positions 32 to 339 of the family's 1533-position model. The record is from RNAcentral.